CGUAGGCUCCAAGCGUUGUCCGGAUUUAUUGGGCGUAAAGAGCUCGUAGGCGGUUCAGCAAGUCGGGUGUGAAAACUCUGGGCUCAACCCAGAGCCUGCACCCGAAACUGCUGUGACUAGAGUUCGGUAGGGGAGUGGGGAAUUCCUAGUGUAGCGGUGAAAUGCGCAGAUAUUAGGAGGAACACCGAUGGCGAAGGCACCACUCUGGGCCGAAACUGACGCUGAGGAGCGAAAGCGUGGGUAGCAAACAGGAUUAGAUACCCUGGUAGUCCACGCCGUAAACGAUGGGCACUAGGUGUGGGUCUCUAACCAACGAGAUCCGCGCCGUCGCUAACGCAUUAAGUGCCCCGCCUGGGGAGUACGGUCGCAAGACUA
RNAcentral lists this ribosomal RNA (375 nucleotides) under uncultured prokaryote. Its description in RNAcentral is "bacterial SSU rRNA". It matches the Rfam family "Bacterial small subunit ribosomal RNA", at positions 526 to 896 of the family's 1533-position model. The record is from RNAcentral.